This 468-nucleotide ribosomal RNA is filed under the name uncultured bacterium. RNAcentral's name for it is "partial 16S ribosomal RNA". It matches the Rfam family "Bacterial small subunit ribosomal RNA", at positions 28 to 507 of the family's 1533-position model. The record is from RNAcentral.
GACGAACGCUGGCGGCGUGCUUAACACAUGCAAGUCGAACGGAAAGGCCCUGCUUUUGUGGGGUGCUCGAGUGGCGAACGGGUGAGUAACACGUGAGUAACCUGCCCUUGACUUUGGGAUAACUUCAGGAAACUGGGGCUACUACCGGAUAGGAGCUCCUGCUGCAUGGUGGGGGUUGGAAAGUUUCGGCGGUUGGGGAUGGACUCGCGGCUUAUCAGCUUGUUGGUGGGGUAGUGGCUUACCAAGGCUUUGACGGGUCGCCGGCCUGAGAGGGUGACCGGCCACAUUGGGACUGAGAUACGGCCCAGACUCGUACGGGAGGCAGCAGUGGGGAAUAUUGCACAAUGGGCGGAAGCCUGAUGCAGCAACGCCGCGUGCGGGAUGACGGCCUUCGGGUUGUAAACCGCUUUCGCCUGUGACGAAGCGUGAGUGACGGUAAUGGGUAAAGAAGCACCGGCUAACUACGUG